RNAcentral lists this long non-coding RNA (1011 nucleotides) under Medicago truncatula (barrel medic). RNAcentral's name for it is "long non-coding RNA (MTRU_LNC005579)". The record is from RNAcentral. Lineage: Eukaryota; Viridiplantae; Streptophyta; Magnoliopsida; Fabales; Fabaceae.
UUCUCUUCUUCUUCCUCUCCCUCUCCUUCCAUUUUGAUCUGCACCUCCCUCUCUCUCUCUCUGAAGACCGUACUCAUCUUCUUCCUCUCCCUCUCCUUUCAUUUCGAUCCACAUCUCUCUUUCCAUCUCUCCAUGUUCGAUCUACACCUCCCCCUCUCUCUCUGUUGCACUAUUUCCUUGAAUCUCUCUCUGUUUGAACUGUUCCUCAAAUCUGGAAACGUAAUUCAUUUGCGUAAUAACAAUCAAUUUGUACAAAAAAAUUGUUCCACAACAAUCGAUUUGUGCAAAUACCCAGAUGCAAAAAAAUUGUUCCAUACAAAUCGUAAUUCAGUUUGGAAGUAGGGAGGAUUAACACAUUGAAAAUAUCCAGAUGCAAAGUUUGAAACUUUUGGGAAAAUUAAAAUGAAAGAGAAAGAGGGAAAUUGGAAUUGUGAAGCUUAAAGUGAGGAUUUUUGAGAAAUUGAAUUAUGGGAGAAAGGUUUACGAUGUGGAAAUAGGAAUCUGAUAGCUUUGCAGGCUUGUUGAAUCUCCGACGCGGCCGUGGGAUAAACGGAGGGAGAAGGAGUGCGUGGGUGGUGGUUGUUAAACAGAAUGAGAGUGAGAGGGAGGGGGGAGCGGGAAGAAGAAGAGAAGGAGAAUGAGGGUAGAAGAUAGGGGUAAGUUGGUAAUUUUGCAUGAUAUUUGAUGACACAUCCACUAAUGACAUGCCACGUAAGUAAUCAAACGAGAUAAGGACGAAUUCUCAAAUGCUUAAUAUUUGCAGUGACAAAAUGGAAGGAUUAGUAAGAUCAGGGAUGAAAUUUCAAAUGACUAUAUUUGCAGGGAUGAAAUACAUAUUUUAGCCUUAAUUCAUUCACGCGUGUUUAAGAAUUAGAUAGUUCAUUUCUUAAUCUGCCAACACUCCAAACACUAGUCAAAAAUUUCUUUAAUAGUUGCAAUUUGUUUUUAUUAUUACAGGUUACAAAAGUUUCUUUAUAAUUACAUGAUAUUUGCUUAAUCAAUUGCUAUAGG